RNAcentral lists this long non-coding RNA (265 nucleotides) under Pan troglodytes (chimpanzee). Its description in RNAcentral is "long non-coding RNA NONPTRT010836". The record is from RNAcentral. Lineage: Eukaryota; Metazoa; Chordata; Mammalia; Primates; Hominidae.
CGAGGUAGCGAGGAGUCAGGGUGGCCCGCAGCAGGAAGACAGAAGGCGUGGAGACAGACUGGCGUUUUGCCUCAGAGGAAGAAGUGGAGUCCCCUCUCCCAUUCUGUGAGCAAGUGCCAGUUCCAGUGAUUCGUACUUUCAUGUCCGAGUUGGAAACCUUGGCCCGACGGUGAUGGACUGCACGACUUGCUGGACUCCCAAGUCCGAAGUUUCUGCGGCAGCGCUUGCUUUGUGGCGCCACCUGGUGGGCAGUGUGCGAGGUUGC